This 251-nucleotide long non-coding RNA is filed under the name Lathyrus oleraceus (garden pea). RNAcentral's name for it is "Pisum sativum (pea) long non-coding RNA (PSAT_LNC007460)". Lineage: Eukaryota; Viridiplantae; Streptophyta; Magnoliopsida; Fabales; Fabaceae. The record is from RNAcentral.
UGCAAAAAUUCCAAAAAUACCUCUUAUAAACACUCUUUCUUCUAUAUUUAACAUCCCAAAACCAUCCUAACUUAUACCCAUUCAUGUCUAUAUAUUUUCUAGCAUAAAUUCAUGAAUUUUAAUCACUAUCCAACAAUAAUUAACAACAACCAAACACAACAUCAUGGUUCAAACACAAUAACACAACAACACAACAACACAACAUAGCUCACUCAAAAGCAUGUAGGAAUCAUGGUAUGAGAUAUAGAAUC